Molecule: long non-coding RNA, 315 nt
Organism: Solanum dulcamara
Lineage: Eukaryota; Viridiplantae; Streptophyta; Magnoliopsida; Solanales; Solanaceae
Exons: 3
Source: RefSeq, a predicted model, not a curated record
AGCGAGUUGAAGUAGCUGAAAAUGUUAAACAAGUUGAAGGAUGCAACUUUAAACAGUGUGUAGUCUUUGGAUUGUCUGGCACAAUAUUUUGUUUAGCAUUUCAUGCACACAAAGAGGUGGCGAUCAUUAUAUCAUUGAAGAAAUAUUUCACUCAACUGAAAUGAAUUGUUUGAAGUUUGAAGGUGUCCGUGAAGACCGUGCAAAACAAGUUGAAGAAAAUAUUAGUUUUAUCUAGGUGAUUGAAAGAUGUUUUCAUUUGUACACAUAAUAUAAUUCUAUUUUCUUAUUAUUGUUUUUGGGAGUUUAUAUGACUAA